RNAcentral lists this ribosomal RNA (268 nucleotides) under uncultured Bacteroides sp. RNAcentral's name for it is "partial 16S ribosomal RNA". It matches the Rfam family "Bacterial small subunit ribosomal RNA", at positions 73 to 339 of the family's 1533-position model. The record is from RNAcentral. Lineage: Bacteria; Pseudomonadati; Bacteroidota; Bacteroidia; Bacteroidales; Bacteroidaceae.
UCUUAGCUUGCUAAGGCCGAUGGCGACCGGCGCACGGGUGAGUAACACGUAUCCAACCUGCCGUCUACUCUUGGACAGCCUUCUGAAAGGAAGAUUAAUACAAGAUGGCAUCAUGAGUUCACAUGUUCACAUGAUUAAAGAAUUUCGGUCAUCGAUGGGGAUGCGUUCCAUUAGGUUGUUGGUGAGGUAACGGCUCACCAAACCUUCGAUGGAUAGGGGUUCUGAGAGGAAGGUCCCCACAUUGGAACUGAGACACGGUCCAAACUCC